AUCGCAGCUCGCUUAGGCCGAAUUUUACUAGCCAGGCUCUACUUUUAUGUCCCGAGAACUGUUAAGGGCGACAAAUCCCUCUUCGUCUUUUGUCCCGCUCCUCAUUCCGAGCGGCUCCCAGGGGUGAGCUUCCUCUCUGAAACUCUUCCUGCCGAGUGGGAGCCGGCCUGCCCCGGGCAGGAGCAGGACUUCGCCCGCCGCCUUUGUGUCAUUUCCAAUACAGAAUUGCUGUUGCUGUUCAGCCACUGUCCUGUCCGGCUCUUUGCAGCCCCGUGGACUGUGGCACACCAGGAUUUCCUGUCCUGCUGUAUCUUCUGGGGCUCGCUCAGACUCAUCCCCAUCGAGUCGGUGACGCCAUCCAACCAUCUCGUCCUCUGUCGUCCCCUUCUCCUCCUGCCUUCCAUCUUUCCCAGCAUCAGGGUCUUUUCCAGUGAGUCAACUCUUCACAUCAGGUGGCCAAAGUAUUGGAGCUUCAGCCUCAGCAUCAGUCCUUCCAAUGAACACCCAGGACUGAUCUCCUUUAGGAUGGACUGGUUGGAUCUCCUUGCAGUCCAAGGGACUCUCAAGAGUCUUCUCCAACACCACAGUUCAAAAGCAUCAAUUCUUUGCCACUCAGCCUUCUUUAUGGUCCAACUCUUACAUCCCACAUAACUACUGGAAAAACCCUAGCUUUGUCUAUAUGGAGCUUUCUCAGCAAAAUGAUGUCUCUACUUUGUAAUACAGUAUCUUGGUUUGUCAUAGCUUAUCUUCUAAGGAGUAAGCAUCUUUAAAUUUCAUGGCUGCAGUCACCAUCUGCAGGGAUUUUGGAGCCCCAAAAAUAAAGUCUGUCAUUGUUUCCAUUGUUCCCCCUCUAUUUGCCAUGAAGUGGUGGGGCCAGAUCUUAAUUUUUUGAAUGUUGAGUUUUAAGCCAGCUUUUUCAGUCUCCUCUUUCACUCUGAUCAAGAGGCUCUUUGGUUCCUCUUCCUCAUCUUCACUUUCUGCCAUUAGAGUGGUUUAUAGGAUGAGAAAAAGAAUAAAAUAUAUUAAACUCCUUGUAGUCAUUUGGUCACACUUCUUUCCAUCCCUGGCUUUGAAGCAAUAAUCAUUUCCAUAUACCCGUUCUGUUCCUCCCAAUUGCCUUUUACAGAAGAUUGCUUCACAAAAUAACUCAUAUGAUGAUAGAUAAGGAGAGAAACAAUUAUUUCAUGUUCUUCUCCACCACUCUUAUUUUUAUCCUUUGCCCCUGUCAGGGUGAACACUGGUUCCAAGUCUCAGCAUAACAUGCCUCUAAGAGCAGCUUUCCAGAGAGCAGGGCCACCCCCUGCGUACAGAGCAAAGAAGGAUGGCUAAAUGGCCUGGGUCUAUGGAAAAGGGGGCCGCAGCCAAGCCUCAGCCACCAACUACUGGCCAUGUGCUUCCUGCCUGUAACCUCAAAGUGACAAAGUGAAGGAUCCAGACUAAUAUAGUCCCUCCUUCCCUUCACUCCAAUAAAGAAUGGCGUUCUAUCCGCAAAUGAUAAGAUCUGACGCAUUCUCUGAGACCAUCUCUUUUCAAGCAGCCAUCUGCAUUCAAGCCAUCUGUCCGCUCCUCUUGCUUGUUAGUCACAUCCCUGAGAAACCAAUUGUAGUAUCUGCUAAUCCUUAAAGGCCAUGAAAUAGUAUUGAUCAGAAAUUGGAAAGGAUGGCAUUUUGUUGCCCAUAGUCUGCAUCCUUACAGUGCAAAAUAAAGCCCUGAAAAUUUAAUUUUUAUCAGGAUAGAAAGUCAAGCAAGAACAUCCAUCCCUCAAUGUGUUUUUUUCUUUUUUUCUGUCUCCUCCUUUUUUUGCUGUUAGCUGGUUGGAAUUUAAUUUGGUUUGUGUCCUGAAACCAAUCAGGGUAAAUUUUUUGUCCUGAUUUUCCUUCUUUGCUUGCUUGUCAUCACUGAUGUGCAUAAAGAGAGCAAUUUUCCACCCAAACCACCCAGCCCCAGUGUUUUCCCAAAUUCCGGUGUAAAUCCAAGGGCAGUUUUAGAAUUAGCAGCAGAGAAAGAGCACCGGUUCAUUUGUCAGACAUCCUAACGUCAGGACUCUAGAUCUGAAGUUUGGAUAGGUUAUUUGACAUGAUUUACUUUGUUAGAUAUAAUUUAAAGAUAAUAACGUCUUUUUUAAUUGAACUCUUUUUUAACUGAACAAUUGAAUGUUGGUUUGCAUUAUUAGCUUCAGGCGUACGACAUAGUGAUUCAAUAUUUUUAUAAAUUACACUCCAUUUAAAAUAGCUACAAAAUAAUGGCUAUAGCUCCGUGUGCUGUGCAGCACACCCUUGUUACUGAUUUAUUUUACACGUCUGUGUGUGUCUCUUAAUUCCCUAACCAUACCUCGCCUCUCCUUCCUUCAUUCUCCCUGCUGAUAACCACUAGUUUGUUCUCUGUAUCUGUGAGCCUGUUUCAUUUUUGUUUUUAC
Long non-coding RNA from Capra hircus (goat), 2416 nucleotides. The record is from Ensembl. Lineage: Eukaryota; Metazoa; Chordata; Mammalia; Artiodactyla; Bovidae.